UUUUCCAUCUGUGUUGGUCGAAUUCCAGUUAAGAAACUUCCAUCCUGGCUGCUUUGAUCUUGUGCUCACCUUUCAAAGGCAUAAAAAGGUCUUCUUUUCCCUUUAUAUAAAAGUACUUCCAGCCAAUAUUUAAUAUGAAAGAGAUGUUUAUCAGACUUGGGAUGGGCAUAUUGAAGCUAUUCAGGGGUUGGGGCUUUCUUUGCUCAUUUCUUCUUUUUCUCAUACACACUCUGUUUUUUUCCUAUCAGCCUAGGUCCCUUGCCUAUACUUCCUGUUGUGAGUUUGCACACAGAGGGAGGUAGAGGUGGCAAUCAAUAAAGUUGUUAGUG
This 329-nucleotide long non-coding RNA is filed under the name Bos taurus (domestic cattle). RNAcentral describes it as "long non-coding RNA NONBTAT024931". Lineage: Eukaryota; Metazoa; Chordata; Mammalia; Artiodactyla; Bovidae. The record is from RNAcentral.